RNAcentral lists this ribosomal RNA (683 nucleotides) under uncultured bacterium. RNAcentral's name for it is "bacterial SSU rRNA". It matches the Rfam family "Bacterial small subunit ribosomal RNA", at positions 126 to 807 of the family's 1533-position model. The record is from RNAcentral.
CUGCCCCUGUCAGGGGGACAACCCGCCGAAAGGCGGGCUAAACCCGCGUACAUGCCACCGGGGCAUCCCGGAGGCAGGAAAGGCUUCGGCCGGACAGGGAUGGGCAUGCGGCGCAUUAGGCAGUAGGCGGGGUAACGGCCCACCUAACCGACGAUGCGUAGGGGUUCUGAGAGGAAGGUCCCCCACACUGGUACUGAGACACGGACCAGACUCCUACGGGAGGCAGCAGUGAGGGAUAUUGGUCAAUGGUCGGGAGACUGAACCAGCCAAGCCGCGUGAGGGAUGAAGGUACAGAGUAUCGUAAACCUCUUUUGUCAGGGAACAAAGGCGGGGACGUGUCCCCGGAUGAGUGUACCUGAAGAAAAAGCAUCGGCUAACUCCGUGCCAGCAGCCGCGGUAAUACGGAGGAUGCGAGCGUUAUCCGGAUUUAUUGGGUUUAAAGGGUGCGCAGGCGGUCUGUUAAGUCAGCGGUCAAAGCCCGGGGCUCAACCCCGGCCCGCCGUUGAAACUGGCAGUCUCGAGUUGGAGAGAAGUAUGCGGAAUGCGCGGUGUAGCGGUGAAAUGCAUAGAUAUCGCGCAGAACUCCGAUUGCGAAGGCAGCAUGCCGGCUCCACACUGACGCUGAGGCACGAAAGCGUGGGUAUCGAACAGGAUUAGAUACCCUGGUAGUCCACGCAGUAAAC